CGGCAAGAGCUCAGAUUUGAAAUCGUGCUUUGCGGCACGAGUUGUAGAUUGCAGGUUGGAGUCUGUGUGGAAGGCGGUGUCCAAGUCCCUUGGAACAGGGCGCCCAGGAGGGUGAGAGCCCCGUGGGAUGCCGGCGGAAGCAGUGAGGCCCUUCUGACGAGUCGAGUUGUUUGGGAAUGCAGCUCCAAGCGGGUGGUAAAUUCCAUCUAAGGCUAAAUACUGGCGAGAGACCGAUAGCGAACAAGUACUGUGAAGGAAAGAUGAAAAGCACUUUGAAAAGAGAGUGAAACAGCACGUGAAAUUGUUGAAAGGGAAGGGUAUUGCGCCCGACAUGGGGAUUGCGCACCGCUGCCUCUCGUGGGCGGCGCUCUGGGCUUUCCCUGGGCCAGCAUCGGUUCUUGCUGCAGGAGAAGGGGUUCUGGAACGUGGCUCUUCGGAGUGUUAUAGCCAGGGCCAGAUGCUGCGUGCGGGGACCGAGGACUGCGGCCGUGUAGGU
Molecule: ribosomal RNA, 496 nt
Filed under: Pichia kudriavzevii
Lineage: Eukaryota; Fungi; Ascomycota; Pichiomycetes; Pichiales; Pichiaceae
Description: eukaryotic LSU rRNA
Rfam family: Eukaryotic large subunit ribosomal RNA
Source: RNAcentral